Molecule: ribosomal RNA, 494 nt
Filed under: uncultured bacterium
Lineage: Bacteria
Description: partial 16S ribosomal RNA
Rfam family: Bacterial small subunit ribosomal RNA
Source: RNAcentral
GAUGAACGCUGGCGGCGUGCUUAACACAUGCAAGUCGAACGAUGAAGCGCCUUCCUUUUUGGUGUGAGUUGAUGAGUGGCGAACUGGUGAGUAACACGUGAGUAACCUGCCCCCUUCUGCUGGACAACGGGAUAAAAGUGUUGCUAAUAGGUGAUAUUUUGGAUCUGUCGCAUGAUUGGUGUAGAAAAGAUAUUGUUUCGGUGGGGGAUGGGCUCGCGGCCUAUCAGCUUGUUGGUGGGGUGACGGCCUACCAAGGCGGUGACGGGUAGCCGGCCUGAGAGGAUCGACCGUACCACUGCGACUGCGCCACCCACAAGCCUACUACGGGAGGCAGCAGUGGGGAAUCUUGAAUAAUGGGAGGACGGCUGAUGCAGCGCCGCCGCGUGAGGGAUGGACGCCUUCGGGUAGUGCACUUCUAUCGCGAGAGAAGAAGGCCUGAAUCGUUUGUGCGUGGGUUGACGGUAGCUGGACAAGAAGCGACGGCUAACUACGUG